RNAcentral lists this long non-coding RNA (2767 nucleotides) under Mytilus galloprovincialis (Mediterranean mussel). Lineage: Eukaryota; Metazoa; Mollusca; Bivalvia; Mytilida; Mytilidae. The record is from RNAcentral.
UCUCGCUACAUUGAAGACCCAUUGGUUGCCUUCGGCUGUUGUUUGCUCUAUGGUCGGGUGGUUGUCGCUUUGACAUAUUCACCAUUUCCUUUCUCAAUUUUAUUCUGAAGACAAUAAGGCUAUAAUUGUUAAAUGAACAGACAACUAAUAAUAACUUUUAUUUAUAUACCUUUUAUCCAUGAAAAUAACAUCUGCUUUAAAAGACAGAUAAGCUAGAUUUAUAGUCAACAAUGCUUUACUGGGUUAUAGUCUCAGAAAUCAAUCAUUAUUAACAAAUCAAAACAACAGAAAUAUCAUAUCUGUAGAUUACAUAAUUGUAAACCGCGCUUGUACAAUACAACUCUGUUUCAGCUUAUCCCACACAGGCAAUUGUCUCAAAAAUAAAUCCUAUAUACCUUAAAAUAACACAAGCCUACUUUGGACUGGGUGUUGCCAAAGCUUGAGAAGAAUUCCAAAAAACAUCCCGUUGACCGACUUCUGAGGCCUGCUACUAAUGAUCCCGACAACAGUGAUAGUCGUGUCAUAUACCAUUGUGUAGAUAAAUCAAUUUAGAUUUACGGCAUAUUAAGUUUAAGUAAGUUUGACAACCGAGAAAUGAAAAAAAAAAUAACAGGAUUUCGGGACUAGGUGUCAUUUUUCAAAAAAAUUAGUUAAGUACCUUGUGUUAUAUUAAGGUAUAUAGGAUUUUUUUUUUUUGAGACAAGUGCCUGUGUUAUCCCAACCGAAUACAAGAACACAAAAGUAGUUGUAACCAGUAAGAAUAACCAACACUAUUUUCUAAAUAAGAGUAAGCUGCUUCAAAUCAACAGCAUCUUUUUUUCGUGUUUUUUCAAGGUUAUCAGAUAUUUUUCACAUGUAAAAAAGAUAUUUAAAAGAUGUAAAAUUAUUUUCAAGGUUCUGAUAUUCAUUUUGCAAUAAAUGUUUAGUAAAUAAUUGGCUAAUCAAUAAGUUCCGGAUGACUUGUUCUAUAUAUCGGUCGUCUACUCUUCCUUUGUCAUAUUAUUAAAAAAAUAAUUCUCCCGUCAUCAAAGGAUCAAAAGAUGUAGUAUGAACCCUCAACACAUAUUUUUCCAAAUCCUAACCUAAAUAUGUUCAUUGUAGAAAAAUAAACAAUACAUAAACAACCAGGAUUAAAGGAUAGGAUGUAGUUAACAUCAAUGAGUAUAUCAGUGAAAGAGUAUAACAUAAAUUGUAAACUGAUGAAAGAUUAAAAAACCUUCAAAAAUCCUCUAUUUCAAGUAUCAAUAAAAACGUCUUAUGUUCUGGAUAAAAUGAAGUAUUCUUUAUUAAUAUCUCCUGGUAAUUUUACAUAAACUCAAUAAUCAAAAGCAGCAUACAAUAAUAAGUUUCAAUUAGACAGCAUUUAAAUACGAAAUUAAAGUAAUCAUGUGUUUAAAAGACAUCAUGUAAAAGUCCUAUCUAUGAUUAAAAUUUCAAAAUUCAAAAGUUUUUACAAGUAAUUUGCGUCUAAAAAAAUUUUGACGGCCUUUUAUUUCUCUAGAAAUUGUUCAAAAAAUUAUAUCAAUUAUUAAAAGCACCCUUCAUAAAACUGAAAAUUACACUUAUUUAUCAAGUUUAUUGUUCAAGCAACACAAGAUCAAGCGUUGGUAAAAAUUCAAACAAACAAAAAACAAUUAAAUUAUGAUAUAUAUAUAUAUAUAUAGUACACUGACAUUUGAUAUUUUAUACAUUAUUGACCUCCUAGAGGUAAUGAAAAUGCAAAGGAUAGAUUGAUUAAACACAAGUAUCCAGUAACAUACUAUUGGAUAAGCAAAGUUACGGAUAUGGGAUAUUUAGGUAAGGAAUGACUGUACCUAAUACUUUUUUUAUAAAGAAAUAGCAUCAGAAAUGUGGUGUACAGUACAUAACCCAUUAUUUGAAAGUGUGCAUUACAUUUUUUUAUGUUAUUUCUAAUAGAUAGAUAGAUAUAACAGUUAUAUCUAACAAUCUUAUUUAAAUUCCAUUUUGAACCGGAUUUAACCAUGUAAAAAAGUUAAACGUCAAUGAUGUCACAGUCACACGACAACAGUAUGUGGAGCAGGAUCUGCUUACCCUUCCGGAGCACCUGAGAUCACCCCUAGUUUUUGGUGGGGUUCGUGUUGUUUAUUCUUUAGUUUUCUAUGUUGUGUCAUGUGUACUAUUGUUUUUCUGUUUGUCUUUUUCAUUUUUAGCCAUGGCGUUGUCAGUUUGUUUUAGAUUUACGAGUUUGACUGUCCCUUUGGUGUCUUUCGUCCCUCUUUUAUGUCUCAGAGCUAACAAUAUUAGAACGUCAGCCAAUUAUAAGCGGCGUUUCUUCCAAAAUUAGACAAUUAUUUGAUUGAGUGCUAUUUUUCUGGAUAAAGGAUUAUCAAAUUUUGUUUAGGAGUUUUUGAUAAAUUGAGGAAAAAAUAUUUAAAUGUAAGACAGAUAGAACAAAUACACCUCAAAAUUGUAACAAAUAUUUCAGAAAUUUAUGUCCAAAGAAUCACUACAAAUGCAUUAUGAUAAAUAUGUACAUGUUUAGCAUUGUCUACAAUGUACCUGUACAAAAAAUAUAUCAUAAAAAGUAUAAAAAUAUAUUUAUAACAAAAUAAUAAAUAAAGUGUUAUAAUAAAAAUAUCAGAGAAUUAACAACAGUUUUUCCAUUUUUUUCACAGCAAUAAUAUAACAGUCAUUCUUUAUACAUUUUACCUGUUGUAAAAAUGUGCAAAAUGUCUUUUCCUUUAGAGAAAUAUUGCUCAAAUACUUUCUAUCGUUUUGCACAUUACCCUGCAGAUCAUGAUUCUGG